GACAGCAGUCGCCACGGGAAUACAGAGGGUGCGAGCGUUAAUCGGAUUUACUGGGCGUAAAGCGUGCGUAGGCGGCUUUUUAAGUCGGAUGUGAAAUCCCUGAGCUUAACUUAGGAAUUGCAUUCGAUACUGGGAAGCUAGAGUAUGGGAGAGGAUGGUAGAAUUCCAGGUGUAGCGGUGAAAUGCGUAGAGAUCUGGAGGAAUACCGAUGGCGAAGGCAGCCAUCUGGCCUAAUACUGACGCUGAGGUACGAAAGCAUGGGGAGCAAACAGGAUUAGAGACCCCAGUAGUCCCUGUCUCUUAUAC
This 306-nucleotide ribosomal RNA is filed under the name uncultured bacterium. RNAcentral describes it as "partial 16S ribosomal RNA". It matches the Rfam family "Bacterial small subunit ribosomal RNA", at positions 507 to 807 of the family's 1533-position model. The record is from RNAcentral.